Molecule: ribosomal RNA, 253 nt
Filed under: uncultured bacterium
Lineage: Bacteria
Description: partial 16S ribosomal RNA
Rfam family: Bacterial small subunit ribosomal RNA
Source: RNAcentral
UACGGAGGGUGCGAGCGUUAAUCGGAAUAACUGGGCGUAAAGCGCACGCAGGCGGGCUUUUAAGAGAGAUGUGAAAUCCCCGGGCUUAACCUGGGAAUAGCAUUUCAGACUGGAAGUCUAGAGUACUUUAGGGAGGGGUAGAAUUCCACGUGUAGCGGUGAAAUGCGUAGAGAUGUGGAGGAAUACCGAGGGCGAAGGCAGCGCCUUGGGAAUGUACUGACGCUCAUGUGCGAAAGCGUGGGGAGCAAACAGG